Molecule: long non-coding RNA, 996 nt
Filed under: Penaeus japonicus
Lineage: Eukaryota; Metazoa; Arthropoda; Malacostraca; Decapoda; Penaeidae
Description: uncharacterized LOC122249373
Source: RNAcentral
UGGUGCUUGGCAACACUGCCCAGUGAGAGCCAUGGGAUCGACAGUGACAGCAGUGAUAGAUGGUGAUGAGAAACAAGUGAUGAUGGCAUGAUUGUGAGUGAUGAUCAUUGAGACAGCCGCAGAUGCCACGGUGCCGCUGUUAGGAGAGGCUUAUUAGGAGGACAUGCAUAAAAUCUGUUUAUAUUCACUUCGCGGUAGUGUCAUGCAUUCAUCACUAUGAAAGAAAGAAUGAAUGAUUGAAAAAUAACGAGACUAAUAAUGGUAAAGAUCACCACCGGAAUGAGAAGUACGCGAAAGAAGGUCGCCAAAGGAUAUUGAUCAAUAAAAUAGGAAUGAUGACCUACAUACUCGAAGAAGAACAAAGAGCCACAUGACUUAUAAAACCUCGUUUGCAACAAAACUAAAUUGAUACAAAACUCGUUUCUCAUUUCUAUGUGUCCCUCUCCUGGACAACUCACGGUGCUGGAGUUUCAAAAAAUUUAUUACUUGCAUCGAGACAGAAGCAAACAUUACCCACGUGUCCGAUCUCCUGACCACCGACCUCGAUGGAUAUGAAUGCAACCGUCUCCAGCUGGCAGUGGGUGUCUGCAACGCCAAAGCGGAGAAGAACAGGUGGUUCUGCAGAGGCAAAGCAGAGGUGCUGCACAGAGCCCUGGCUGUGUUCUUCUCGGCCACAAACUGCGGGGCGCUCACGUCGACUUGUAGAGGCUUGAAACUGGGAGGAGCGACCGGAGCGACGGUGCUGUCUACUUUGGUCGUGAUGGCGGUGAUUCUCGCUCUCCUGGGCAUCAUCCUGGUCAAACGGGGAGUCGUGGCUUUGAACAGCACGAGGAGACGACACGAGGAGAUGCACGAUUCCGACGGGCCACAAGAGGACUACAGCAGACUCACUUAGAAGCGGCUUUGCUCGCUUGUGUGUGUGUGUGUGUGUGUGUCGGGGAGGGUGUGUGUUGCUAUGCGCUGGGGGUCAAUGGGUGGCAGGGGUGGAGGACGAGA